AUCUAUGGCCGUAUCACCCUGCACGUGCUUGAUCUCAGAAGUUAAACAGGGUUGGGCCUGGGAAGUGCUUGGAUGGGAGAAAUAGGAUCAGGGUAGCCCAAUC
Nomascus leucogenys (northern white-cheeked gibbon) is the source of this 103-nucleotide ribosomal RNA. NCBI's taxonomy places the organism in Eukaryota, Metazoa, Chordata, Mammalia, Primates, Hylobatidae. The record is from Ensembl.